This 1332-nucleotide ribosomal RNA is filed under the name uncultured bacterium. RNAcentral describes it as "bacterial SSU rRNA". It matches the Rfam family "Bacterial small subunit ribosomal RNA", at positions 28 to 1381 of the family's 1533-position model. The record is from RNAcentral.
GACGAACGCUGGCGGCGCGCCUAACACAUGCAAGUCGAACGAGAGAUGAGGAGCUUGCUCUUCAAAUCGAGUGGCGAACGGGUGAGUAACGCGUGAGGAACCUGCCUCAAAGAGGGGGACAACAGUUGGAAACGACUGCUAAUACCGCAUAAGCCCACGGCUCGGCAUCGAGCAGAGGGAAAAGGAGCAAUCCGCUUUGAGAUGGCCUCGCGUCCGAUUAGCUAGUUGGUGAGGUAACGGCCCACCAAGGCAACGAUCGGUAGCCGGACUGAGAGGUUGAACGGCCACAUUGGGACUGAGACACGGCCCAGACUCCUACGGGAGGCAGCAGUGGGGAAUAUUGCACAAUGGGGGAAACCCUGAUGCAGCGACGCCGCGUGGAGGAAGAAGGUCUUCGGAUUGUAAACUCCUGUUGUUGAGGAAGAUAAUGACGGUACUCAACAAGGAAGUGACGGCUAACUACGUGCCAGCAGCCGCGGUAAAACGUAGGUCACAAGCGUUGUCCGGAAUUACUGGGUGUAAAGGGAGCGCAGGCGGGAGAACAAGUUGGAAGUGAAAUCCAUGGGCUCAACCCAUGAACUGCUUUCAAAACUGUUUUUCUUGAGUAGUGCAGAGGUAGGCGGAAUUCCCGGUGUAGCGGUGGAAUGCGUAGAUAUCGGGAGGAAGACCAGUGGCGAAGGCGGCCUACUGGGCACCAACUGACGCUGAGGCUCGAAAGUGUGGGUAGCAAACAGGAUUAGAUACCCUGGUAGUCCACACCGUAAACGAUGAUUACUAGGUGUUGGAGGAUUGACCCCUUCAGUGCCGCAGUUAACACAAUAAGUAAUCCACCUGGGGAGUACGACCGCAAGGUUGAAACUCAAAGGAAUUGACGGGGGCCCGCACAAGCAGUGGAGUAUGUGGUUUAAUUCGACGCAACGCGAAGAACCUUACCAAGUCUUGACAUCCCUUGACGAUGCUGGAAACAGUAUUUCUCUUCGGAGCAAGGAGACAGGUGGUGCAUGGUUGUCGUCAGCUCGUGUCGUGAGAUGUUGGGUUAAGUCCCGCAACGAGCGCAACCCUUAUGGUCAGUUACUACGCAAGAGGACUCUGGCCAGACUGCCGUUGACAAAACGGAGGAAGGUGGGGAUGACGUCAAAUCAUCAUGCCCUUUAUGACUUGGGCUACACACGUACUACAAUGGCGUUAAACAAAGAGAAGCAAGACCGCGAGGUGGAGCAAAACUCAGAAACAACGUCCCAGUUCGGACUGCAGGCUGCAACUCGCCUGCACGAAGUCGGAAUUGCUAGUAAUCGUGGAUCAGCAUGCCACGGUGAAUACGUUCCCGGGCCU